Molecule: ribosomal RNA, 2168 nt
Filed under: Triticum aestivum (bread wheat)
Lineage: Eukaryota; Viridiplantae; Streptophyta; Magnoliopsida; Poales; Poaceae
Description: partial small subunit ribosomal RNA
Source: RNAcentral
UUCUUUUGGUGGGGCAUCCUCCUUGCGGGAAGGAGAGCUAGGGGAGGGCAGCGGCGGCGGCAGGAGAGAGGCUAGAGAUCGGAGCGUGGAAGAGGGUAGGUAGGGGAGCGGAGAGAAAGGGGGCUAGAUCUACCGUGGAGGGUGGUACCGCCCCUCCGCCGAAGCUCGCGGCGGACUAGAGGAGCUGGGUCCCGGAGUGCGAGUGGUCGCGGGCGGGUUAGCGCGCGCUGGAGAGGUGACGUCGCGCGGGGGCGGGACAGAACUACACGUCGGGUGCGGUACCCAGAGGCGGCUGCGGUGCUACCAGCACCGGAGGAGUGGGCGGCUGCGGAGGUGAGGUCUAGGCUCGGCGGCCACUCGGCAGUUCCAGCCCCGUACCAUGAUAGGUAGAAGGGCGCACAUCCCGUCGGCCACGGGCGCAGGCGCAUAGGGCCGGUACCCACAACAUAAGUAGAGGAUGUACCCCGCUGCUCCUUCUACUCGGGUCGCCGUGCACACAGAAGGUCGGCGAGAACACUCUAGCCCUCCGUUAGUUUUCGUCCUUCCCCUCUAGCUACGAACCCCCACUGUAGGUUACUGGGUCCGUAGUGGGAGAGGACUGCAGAAUGAUGUUUGGGCGUCGGUGACGGAGGAGCUAGAUGCGAUCGGACGUCGUCGUUCAUAUAGCUCAAACUACUGCUACUACUAACUUUUCUUCUCCUACUUCGUGAUAAGUCUCCCAUAGGCUCACAUGUACUACGGGGACCCACCCACAGCCGCACUCGACCAUACCGGGGCAGCACCGAUACAUCUACCCCUCCGCCCCACCUCCGACCCUGACGUACCCCUUUUUCGUAUUUCUCGUUCUGCCAUCACGACAUGACACCGUACCAGUACACACAUCGGAGUCGUGUCGCAACAUGACACCGUACCGACACACACACUGCAGCCACGUCGCCGUUUCUCAUCAGAAACCUCGUCCCGUCGCCGUGUGUGUGUGUACUCCCACCGGGAGCUCCGAACCCCCAAUUCGUCCUAGGGCACCUUCACCUCUCUCUUCGUAGUACGAGUACUUGAACUUUUUACUAAAGCUCAAACUUGUUUCUUUCAAAUGGUUUCUUCUGUAGUUUCUUUAAUAUAAAUCCCUCUAUGACCUUAUGGAGGGAGUUGAAGAGUUCCUAAUGUACGUGCCUAGACUUUUAUGAAUGAUACAGGAUACAAAGAUGGAACUGUAUAGAACAUUGAAAAAACGGAGGAUAAAACGUAUACAUCGUUAUCAGUAUUGAAUACAGCAACUUAGUUAUAAACGGUGAUGACUGUUAAACGUAUCCGUUAGACGAUUCUCCUUCUACCACCUUUCUCGCCCGCUCAGCUCUCUUUUGUAAAAGAAGAGGGUUCCAUUAAAUGUGAUAGUAUUAAGGGGGUUGACACUGAACAAUAUAUGUGUGGAUCUGGUGGGGUGUGGCGGUGAUAUCAUGUGCCUGCGGCGAGUGGACGUUUCCCGUUUUCCGAGGAGGAAAAUGGUAUUUUGUACAGGGACCCAUCCUUCCACCGGAUGGGCCGGUGUUCGUUUUUUCCCUUCCAGCGAACGUAUGUGGCCACCACUUCUUUUGCUAGGCCUUCUCGUCUUCACAAUAAGGUAUGGCUCGACAUGGCACACAAAAGUCAAAAUACUUCUUACCAAACGCUAAUGUGCCAUAAACUUUGGAAGAAAAGUGUGUGACUCGGAACACUAGACUGCCAUACACCGAAGACACAAGAACGCAUCCACAGCUUGAUGUGAUGGUCGUCGUCUCCGACGUGGAACAGAAAUCGUUUCUACCUUUCGGACGAUUAAUUACUAUGUCCCUCUACUUGCUACACCUAUACUUCUUUAAGUACCUAGCACGAGAAGGCACCAUUCCUCGGACACCGAGAGAGUUCAGAGUUGACUAGUCUUCUAGAACCAAUCGACCAACCAGUCUCCUUCUUUCGUCUUGCGUACUUACUUUCACCUCUCCUGUUUCUUUCUACACACCUAUGAGUAUCAACUUCAUUUAUUCAUAAUACCCCUAAGAGUAUCAACCUCUUAUAUUCAUAAUACGCCUAAGAGUACCAACCUCAAUUAUUGCCUGUGUGACCGCAUAAUCAACAAACGGGUUGUUGCCUGUAGUAUAAAAAUAAAGCACCAUUACGUGCUGUAAGUUAAC